RNAcentral lists this ribosomal RNA (497 nucleotides) under uncultured bacterium. Its description in RNAcentral is "partial 16S ribosomal RNA". It matches the Rfam family "Bacterial small subunit ribosomal RNA", at positions 28 to 507 of the family's 1533-position model. The record is from RNAcentral.
GACGAACGCUGGCGGCGUGCCUAAUACAUGCAAGUUGAGCGAUGAAGAUUGGUGCUUGCACCAAUUUGAAGAGCAGCGAACGGGUGAGUAACGCGUGGGGAAUCUGCCUUUGAGCGGGGGACAACAUUUGGAAACGAAUGCUAAUACCGCAUAACAACUUUAAACAUAAGUUUUAAGUUUGAAAGAUGCAAUUGCAUCACUCAAAGAUGAUCCCGCGUUGUAUUAGCUAGUUGGUGAGAUAAAGGCUCACCAAGGCGAUGAUACAUAGCCGACCUGAGAGGGUGAUCGGCCACAUUGGGACUGAGACACGGCCCAAACUCCUACGGGAGGCAGCAGUAGGGAAUCUUCGGCAAUGGACGAAAGUCUGACCGAGCAACGCCGCGUGAGUGAAGAAGGUUUUCGGAUCGUAAAACUCUGUUGGUAGAGAAGAACGUUGGUGAGAGUGGAAAGCUCAUCAAGUGACGGUAACUACCCAGAAAGGGACGGCUAACUACGUG